This 308-nucleotide ribosomal RNA is filed under the name uncultured bacterium. Its description in RNAcentral is "partial 16S ribosomal RNA". It matches the Rfam family "Bacterial small subunit ribosomal RNA", at positions 505 to 807 of the family's 1533-position model. The record is from RNAcentral.
GAGACAGCAGUCGCCGCGGGAAUACGAAGGGUGCAAGCGUUACUCGGAAUUACUGGGCGUAAAGCGUGCGUAGGUGGUGGUUUAAGUCCGUUGUGAAAGCCCUGGGCUCAACCUGGGAAUUGCAGUGGAUACUGGGUCACUAGAGUGUGGUAGAGGAUAGUGGAAUUUCCGGUGUAGCAGUGAAAUGCGUAGAGAUCGGAAGGAACAUCUGUGGCGAAGGCGACUAUCUGGGCCAACACUGACACUGAGGCACGAAAGCGUGGGGAGCAAACAGGAUUAGAUACCCCUGUAGUCCCUGUCUCUUAUAC